GGGUGAUUGGCGCUCAGCUGGAGAGCACCUCCCCUUACAAGGAGGGUCGGCGGUUCGACCUCCCGUCAUCACCCACCA
RNAcentral lists this transfer RNA (78 nucleotides) under Salmonella enterica subsp. enterica. RNAcentral's name for it is "tRNA-Val". The record is from RNAcentral. Lineage: Bacteria; Pseudomonadati; Pseudomonadota; Gammaproteobacteria; Enterobacterales; Enterobacteriaceae.